UUCGCCCUUAGAGUUUGAUCCUGGCUCAGGACGAACGCUGGCGGCGCGCCUAACACAUGCAAGUCGAACGAGAGAGAGGAAGCUUGCUUCCUCAAUCGAGUGGCGAACGGGUGAGUAACGCGUGAGGAACCUGCCUCAAAGAGGGGGACAACAGUUGGAAACGACUGCUAAUACCGCAUAAGCCCACAGCUCGGCAUCGAGCAGAGGGAAAAGGAGCAAUCCGCUUUGAGAUGGACUCGCGUCCAAUUAGCUAGUUGGUGAGGUAACGGCCCACCAAGGCGACGAUUGGUAGCCGGACUGAGAGGUUGAACGGUCACAUUGGGACUGAGACACGGCCCAGACUCCUACGGGAGGCAGCAGUGGGGGAUAUUGCACAAUGGGGGAAACCCUGAUGCAGCGACGCCGCGUGGAGGAAGAAGGUUUUCGGAUUGUAAACUCCUGUCGUUAGGGACGAUAAUGACGGUACCUAACAAGAAAGCACCGGCUAACUACGUGCCAGCAGCCGCGGUAAAACGUAGGGUGCAAGCGUUGUCCGGAAUUACUGGGUGUAAAGGGAGCGCAGGCGGACCGGCAAGUUGGAAGUGAAAUCUAUGGGCUCAACCCAUAAAUUGCUUUCAAAACUGCUGGCCUUGAGUAGUGCAGAGGUAGGUGGAAUUCCCGGUGUAGCGGUGGAAUGCGUAGAUAUCGGGAGGAACACCAGUGGCGAAGGCGACCUACUGGGCACCAACUGACGCUGAGGCUCGAAAGCAUGGGUAGCAAAACAGGAUUAGAUACCCUGGUAGUCCAUGCCGUAAACGAUGAUUACUAGGUGUUGGAGGAUUGACCCCUUCAGUGCCGCAGUUAACACAAUAAGUAAUCCACCUGGGGAGUACGACCGCAAGGUUGAAACUCAAAGGAAUUGACGGGGGCCCGCACAAGCAGUGGAGUAUGUGGUUUAAUUCGAAGCAACGCGAAGAACCUUACCAGGUCUUGACAUCCGAUGCAUAGUGCAGAGAUGCAUGAAGUCCUUCGGGACAUCGAGACAGGUGGUGCAUGGUUGUCGUCAGCUCGUGUCGUGAGAUGUUGGGUUAAGUCCCACAACGAGCGCAACCCUUAUUGCCAGUUACUACGCAAGAGGACUCUGGCGAGACUGCCGUUGACAAAACGGAGGAAGGUGGGGAUGACGUCAAAUCAUCAUGCCCUUUAUGACCUGGGCUACACACGUACUACAAUGGCGUUUAACAAAGAGAAGCAAGACCGCGAGGUGGAGCAAAACUCAAAAACAACGUCUCAGUUCAGAUUGCAGGCUGCAACUCGCCUGCAUGAAGUCGGAAUUGCUAGUAAUCGCGGAUCAGCAUGCCGCGGUGAAUACGUUCCCGGGCCUUGCACACACCGCCCGUCA
This 1381-nucleotide ribosomal RNA is filed under the name uncultured bacterium. RNAcentral describes it as "16S ribosomal RNA". It matches the Rfam family "Bacterial small subunit ribosomal RNA". The record is from RNAcentral.